UUAACACAUGCAAGUCGAACGCCCCGCAAGGGGAGUGGCAGACGGGUGAGUAACGCGUGGGAACAUACCCUUUCCUGCGGAAUAGCUCCGGGAAACUGGAAUUAAUACCGCAUACGCCCUACGGGGGAAAGAUUUAUCGGGGAAGGAUUGGCCCGCGUUGGAUUAGCUAGUUGGUGGGGUAAAGGCCUACCAAGGCGACGAUCCAUAGCUGGUCUGAGAGGAUGAUCAGCCACAUUGGGACUGAGACACGGCCCAAACUCCUACGGGAGGCAGCAGUGGGGAAUAUUGGACAAUGGGCGCAAGCCUGAUCCAGCCAUGCCGCGUGAGUGAUGAAGGCCUUAGGGUUGUAAAGCUCUUUCACCGAUGAAGAUAAUGACGGUAGUCGGAGAAGAAGCCCCGGCUAACUUCGUGCCAGCAGCCGCGGUAAUACGAAGGGGGCUAGCGUUGUUCGGAAUUACUGGGCGUAAAGCGCACGUAGGCGGAUAUUUAAGUCAGGGGUGAAAUCCCGCAGCUCAACUGCGGAACUGCCUUUGAUACUGGGUAUCUUGAGUAUGGGAGAGGUAAGUGGAAUUCCGAGUGUAGAGGUGAAAUUCGUAGAUAUUCGGGAGGAACACCAGUGGCGAAAGCGGCUUAAUGGUCCAUUACUGAGGCUGAAGUGCCAAAACGUGGGGAGCAAACAGGAUUAGAUAGCCUGGGGGGCCCCGCCGUAAAACAUGAGAUGUUGCCGUCUGAAAACAUGCGUGUUCAGUGGCGAAUCUGACGCCUUAAACAUGCCGCC
Molecule: ribosomal RNA, 778 nt
Filed under: uncultured Agrobacterium sp.
Lineage: Bacteria; Pseudomonadati; Pseudomonadota; Alphaproteobacteria; Hyphomicrobiales; Rhizobiaceae
Description: bacterial SSU rRNA
Rfam family: Bacterial small subunit ribosomal RNA
Source: RNAcentral